Molecule: ribosomal RNA, 253 nt
Filed under: uncultured bacterium
Lineage: Bacteria
Description: partial 16S ribosomal RNA
Rfam family: Bacterial small subunit ribosomal RNA
Source: RNAcentral
UACGUAGGGUGCGAGCGUUAAUCGGAACUACUGGGCGUAAAGCGUGCGCAGGCGGUUUUGUAAGCCAGAUGUGAAAUCCCCGGGCUUAACCUGGGAAUGGCAUUUGGGACUGCAAGGCUUGAGUGCGGCAGAGGAGACUGGAAUUCCUGGUGUAGCAGUGAAAUGCGUAGAUAUCAGGAGGAACACCGAUGGCGAAGGCAGGUCUCUGGGCUGACACUGACGCUCAUGCACGAAAGCGUGGGGAGCAAACAGG